ACUCCUACGGGAGGCAGCAGUGGGGGAUAUUGCACAAUGGAGGAAACCCUGAUGCAGCAACGCCGCGUGAGUGAUGACGGCCUUCGGGUUGUAAAGCUCUGUUAUAUGGGACGAACGGGCAUGGGGCGAAUACCCCCAUGCAGUGACGGUACCGUAAGAGAAAGCCACGGCUAACUACGUGCCAGCAGCCGCGGUAAU
Molecule: ribosomal RNA, 198 nt
Filed under: uncultured bacterium
Lineage: Bacteria
Description: partial 16S ribosomal RNA
Rfam family: Bacterial small subunit ribosomal RNA
Source: RNAcentral